AUGGCUCAGGACGAACGCUGGCGGCAUGCCUAACACAUGCAAGUCGAACGGAGUAAUGACUUCGGUUAUUACUUAGUGGCGAACGGGUGAGUAACACGUGAAUAAUCUGCCCUGUACGAUGGGAUAACAGCUGGAAACGGCUGCUAAUACCGUAUAUGACCACGCCGAGGCAUCUCGGAGGGGUGAAAGCGCUUAAGCGGUACAGGAUGAGUUCGCGUCCAAUUAGCUAGUUGGUGAGGUAACGGCCCACCAAGGCGACGAUUGGUAGCCGACCUGAGAGGGUGAUCGGCCACACUGGAACUGAGACACGGUCCAGACUCCUACGGGAGGCAGCAGUGGGGAAUAUUGGGCAAUGGAGGAAACUCUUACCCAGCCAAUGCCGCGUGAGUGAUGAAGGUCUUCGGAUUGUAAACUUCUUUUGUCAAGGACGAUAAUGACGGUACUUGACGAAUAAGCUCCGGCUAACUACGUGCCAGCAGCCGC
RNAcentral lists this ribosomal RNA (483 nucleotides) under uncultured bacterium. RNAcentral's name for it is "bacterial SSU rRNA". It matches the Rfam family "Bacterial small subunit ribosomal RNA", at positions 19 to 518 of the family's 1533-position model. The record is from RNAcentral.